Molecule: ribosomal RNA, 467 nt
Filed under: uncultured bacterium
Lineage: Bacteria
Description: partial 16S ribosomal RNA
Rfam family: Bacterial small subunit ribosomal RNA
Source: RNAcentral
GACGAACGCUGGCGGCGUGCUUAACACAUGCAAGUCGAGCGGAAAGGCCCUGCUUUUGUGGGGUGCUCGAGUGGCGAACGGGUGAGUAACACGUGAGUAACCUGCCCUUGACUUUGGGAUACUUCAGGAAACUGGGGCUAAUACCGGAUAGGAGCUCCUGCUGCAUGGUGGGGGUUGGAAAGUUUCGGCGGUUGGGGAUGGACUCGCGGCUUAUCAGCUUGUUGGUGGGGUAGUGGCUUACCAAGGCUUUGACGGGUAGCCGGCCUGAGAGGGUGACCGGCCACAUUGGGACUGAGAUACGGCCCAGACUCCUACGGGAGGCAGCAGUGGGGAAUAUUGCACAAUGGGCGGAAGCCUGAUGCAGCAACGCCGCGUGCGGGAUGACGGCCUUCGGGUUGUAAACCGCUUUCGCCUGUGACGAAGCGUGAGUGACGGUAAUGGGUAAAGAAGCACCGGCUAACUACGUG